CCGGUUUAGUCAUUCGCUGUCUUCGGAGGAAAGCACCGUUUCUCAGCUUGGCUUGUUUUCUUAUUGGGCCAUCAGGAACUUAAUCUCAGUCAAAGUAAAAUCAAGUCGAAGGAUUAAAUUUCUUCCGCUCAAGGCUAGCUUUUGGGAAAUCAUAAGAUCGGGUUUUUUAAAGGAUAGUGCGACACAAAUCGUUGAUCCACCAACCAGUCCUGAAGAGGAGGAAGAGAUCUUACCUCUUUAAGAAGCCUGAGUUCUCUCUUGAUCCUUCUUUUCCACGGUUUCACCUUGCUGGUUAAGUGCAAAGCAAUGGAGGUGGAGGGACAUGAUGAUAUGACUCCGGAAUUGGAAUUUUCUGACCAUGAAAAUGAAGAAGAGGCACCCCCUAGUACGAGUGCCAUGAGUAAGGUACCUGGUUCUCAUCUUCCUCAGGAUAAGAAAUAUACAUCAGAAUGUUGGAAUCAUUAUAGAAGAAUCAAUGAUAAGGAUGGAAAACCAAUUCAAGUGAAGUGCAUACAUUGUGGGACAAUACUUACGUAUCGUGUUGCUAACGGUACUUCUGCGAUGAGGAAGCACUUGACCACAUGUAGGAGGUUUCCCCGUAAUGUAGAUA
Long non-coding RNA from Eucalyptus grandis, 610 nucleotides. RefSeq lists it as uncharacterized. The transcript has 4 exons. NCBI's taxonomy places the organism in Eukaryota, Viridiplantae, Streptophyta, Magnoliopsida, Myrtales, Myrtaceae. The record is from RefSeq and is a predicted model, not a curated record.